GUGCCAGCAGCCGCGGUAAUACGUAGGUGGCGAGCGUUGUCCGGAAUUACUGGGCGUAAAGGGCGCGUAGGCGGGAUAGCAAGUCUGUUGUGAAAUUGCGGGGCUCAACCCCGUAUUGGCAAUGGAAACUGCUAUUCUUGAGUGCAGGAGAGGAAAGCGGAAUUCCCAGUGUAGCGGUGAAAUGCGUAGAUAUUGGGAGGAACACCAGUGGCGAAGGCGGCUUUCUGGCCUGUGUCUGACGCUGAGGCGCGAAAGCCAGGGGAGCGAACGGGAUUAGAUACCCCGGUAGUCCUGGCCGUAAACGAUGGGUACUAGGUGUAGGAGGUAUCGACCCCUUCUGUGCCGGAGUUAACGCAAUAAGUACCCCGCCUGGGGAGUACGGCCGCAAGGCUGAAACUCAAAUAAAUUGACGG
RNAcentral lists this ribosomal RNA (413 nucleotides) under uncultured bacterium. RNAcentral's name for it is "bacterial SSU rRNA". It matches the Rfam family "Bacterial small subunit ribosomal RNA", at positions 505 to 916 of the family's 1533-position model. The record is from RNAcentral.